CGAUCUGAUCGCACGCGUCAGCGCGCCGCGGCAGAAGCAGUCGAUGUCGACUUAUUUGCGAAAGGCCGCAGGUCUUCCGCCGGUCGCCAUUGGUUUUUUGCAGGAGGCUGCGAUUGCGGGCGGACUGAAACUGUCGGUGAUGGAUUCCGAAGCGCUCGCCGCCUUGAUCGAUGCUGUUCCCGUCAAGCUCACCGGCGUCGCACCGCUUGAUCGCGCGAUUUCAACCGCAGGUGGGAUUGCCUUGAACGAGCUCGAUGCGCAGUUCAUGCUGCGAAAAAUGCCCGGCGUCUUUGUCGCCGGCGAAAUGCUGGACUGGGAAGCGCCGACCGGCGGCUAUCUGUUGCAGGCGUGUUUCGCGACAGGCGCUGCUGCCGGACGGGGUGCGCUGAACUAUCUGAAGCGCUAAACGCCGCUUUCGAUUUCCUCGCGCAACAU
This 435-nucleotide unclassified non-coding RNA is filed under the name Hevea brasiliensis (rubber tree). The record is from RNAcentral. Lineage: Eukaryota; Viridiplantae; Streptophyta; Magnoliopsida; Malpighiales; Euphorbiaceae.